CUCUAAUGUAUCUGGAAGUAAAAUACAUUUUAAAGUCCUAAAAGCCAAGGAACAUUAUCCAAAAAGAUUUCAAACAAAUUCCUAUGAUAAGAUCUCUCAUCGCAUGCAAAGCCGUGGCUACCGUUAUUUCAACAUGAUUGGAAGAUGAAGAAACGAAAGCUUUAUAUCCGUUUUUUGUUCACGGAAAACUGCUACUCCACCUGAGAGAGAUGUGCUUGGGCAGCUCUGGAUUGUCGAGCAGUUGGACGAGCUUGAAAAAUUCAGCGAUGCUGUUGCGCUAGAGCUUACUAAAAAUGUAAGAAGAUUGUAUUGAGUAUUGCUUCUAUGGAAAAUAUUUGCCUAAUUAAGGCAUAGUUAACUAUAGUCUCCUUCGCAUCCGUUUUCGUGUCGGGGAGGGACACGAAAACGGAUGCGAAGGAGACAAAGUUAACUAUGAUCCAGGCAAAAGCUAAACCGACGAAGUAUCACAAGAAAGUAAGCAAACAACAACUGGACGAAUUCGACCUAGAUCACCAAACAGGCAACCAAAUAUCCAAACAACCAAGUCAC
Molecule: long non-coding RNA, 549 nt
Organism: Exaiptasia diaphana
Lineage: Eukaryota; Metazoa; Cnidaria; Anthozoa; Actiniaria; Aiptasiidae
Exons: 3
Source: RefSeq, a predicted model, not a curated record